Molecule: long non-coding RNA, 1123 nt
Filed under: Salvia miltiorrhiza (redroot sage)
Lineage: Eukaryota; Viridiplantae; Streptophyta; Magnoliopsida; Lamiales; Lamiaceae
Description: long non-coding RNA (SMIL_LNC003175)
Source: RNAcentral
UUUUUUUUCUUUGUUCUUUUUUUUGAGUUGGGUUUUGCUAAUGCUUUAGAUCAAUAAAUUGCCAUGAGAUUCUGCUCACCACACUGGUAUUGCUAAUGUCUUUUUUAUUUGAGUUGGGUAUUGCUAAUACUUUAGAUCAAUAAAUUGCCAUGAGAUUCUGCUCACUGGCAUUGCUAAUAAUCUAUAUCAAAUUGGGAAUACUUGCUAGUGCAUAAUUUGACUGCUUUUCCAUUGGACAAGACUCACAUUGCAUAGAGCUUGACAUUGGUUCAUUUCUUUUCAAGUCAUAAAUAUAUUUGAAGUAUUUGUUAAGAAUCAGAAGGCCCUAAUAUUUGGUAUUCUGUUUCAGAUUUUUCCACUCAUUGGAAGUAUAAUGGCAUACCGAAGCAAAAGUGGGCAUUGUUCAUACGUUUUUCUUUCAGCAUCCUUUUACUAUGCAUGACUCUGUCAAAGGUUCCAUGGUAAAUGUUGCUUGUGUUUUUGGCCAAACCGGUGAUGAAAGUUGUUAGCCUGCAACCUAUCUUGGAAGAACUAUGCAUAUCAUUAGAAUUAUGCAGAUUUUAUUUCCUUCAAGAAGCAUUGAUGCCAAAUUGUUUAUGCACUCUACCAUAAGGAAAAAAAGAGUUCAAUAUCUGAUAUUCUAAAUUGUUUGUGCACUCUACCAAUGUCAAGUACUUCCUGCUAUAGCUGAGAGUUGAAUUUAGUACAAUCUGAUAUUCUAAAUUGUGUCUAAUUAUGUAAAGUAGAAUAAUCUAGUUAUUGCCUUAAGAUUAUUGGAAAUGGGUUUUUGUAUGCUAAACCUUAGCCACUGAUGAAUGUUGAAUCAAGAUAAGGUUGUGUUCGUGGUGAGAAGGGGCUAUCGGCCAUGCUCUCUUCCACUUCGUCAGCUCCCUUGCCUCGACACAUGUAUUCUCGAACAAUGCAAUCCUGCAGAACAAGUAUGUACAUGUUGCAUCGUUAUGUUUCCUUUUCUUGUUUUGCUUUGAUAAAAUAGGUAGAUGAGAUGAGAAACGACGUACACUUUUGUCUCGAUGGCCUUCCCCAGUCAUCCCAUCCCUGUGGUUUUACGUCUAUAUUGAGCUCACUGUAUGAAUAUAUUAUUACUCUUGAAUUAUUUGUGGAU